Phyllostomus hastatus (greater spear-nosed bat) is the source of this 671-nucleotide long non-coding RNA. RefSeq lists it as uncharacterized. The record is from RefSeq and is a predicted model, not a curated record. Lineage: Eukaryota; Metazoa; Chordata; Mammalia; Chiroptera; Phyllostomidae. The transcript has 3 exons.
CGGCGGGUCUGGCUGGCCAGUCACGUGGGCGGAGGUGUGCGUCUCGGGAGCGCGCUGUCCCGGGCGCCCGGGGUGCCGCGGCAGGUUUGCUCUAAGGGACCGUGGAUCAGAAGUGAUGCUGCUUCCCAGGUGGGAUUGCAGAGGUGGUGUCUCUCUGAUACAUAAAGUGGUGGUCCCCAGAACACCGCCUUCCAUUCACCUGGACGACCCCUGCAAAAAUCCAGAGGCAUUCAAGUGAAUGGAACAAGAUCAGUGCCCGCUGUAGAGAUGUGAAUGAAGAAGCAGUGGUUCAUACAAUGGAAUAUAAUGCAACCUUUAAAAAGAACAAGUACAGAGACUUUGAUCAUCCAGACAUCACAUCAUGUGAUGACAUGCUAACUGGACAUGGUGCAGAAGGAAGUGACCAGUGUGCUGUCCCUGGUAAGACAAUGCUCAUCAAUGCACGUCAGAUAAGCCCUCAGAAGUUCUGGAGUCUGCCCUGGCUGGUGUGGCUCAGUGGAUUGAGUGCCAGCCUGCGAACCGAAAGGUCGCUGGUUCGAUUGCCAGUCAGGGCACAUGCCUGGGUUGCAGUUGGGAGCCUGUGGUAGGCAACUAAUCACACAUCAAUGUUUCUCUCCCUUUCUCCCUCUUUUUCCCUCUCUCUAAAAAUAAAUCAAUGAAGUUCUAUUCCC